UCUCAAUUGCUCCAAGAUAUUGAGAUCAGUUAGAGUUAUAUUUACUAACAGGAUGGAACCAACCGGAGAUACUAUUUUUAAUUCCGUUCUCUCCGUAUACUUACUUUUUGCUGUGGUUGCUUGGAUUCUACUAGUGUUCAGACCAGAUAAAGCAGUCAAGAAAGCUAAAGUAUCGGAGACAUCUAAGAGUGCAGUUGUUGAGAAAAUAUCCAACCCUGACAAGCAAAUGUGCCCUAAGAAGAUUAAGGAGAAUGAACCCAGCUGUAGUUCUACUGAGAAGAAAACUCAAUAGUUUAAAAAGGGAUUGUUUUAAUAUUAGAGCAUGGUUCCAGAGCUGGGAACUUUUGUUUUGGAUAUCUCGUAAUCCAGAUCCACAGAUCUCGAUAUCCACUUUUAAUUUGAGGGUCAAGGGCAACUAUAAAAACUAAACCUUUCCAUAUCUUCAUUUUAGUUAUUCCUAGCUCCCUUCAACCCAUUUCUUGAACCAUGCGGGGUAUCAAAUAAAGAAAUAAAGAUUAAGUUAAUCUGCAGAUAAACAAAAGAUCAAUAUCAAGCAUUGAUCUCGAUAUUCACAAUACAAGAGUUCACAGCUCUAGUGAAUUAUCAUAAUAAUUUCUAAAACUAGAACAAUCCCUUUCAGAUUUGCGUUAUUUCUUGGUAUGGAAGGUUUCUACCCAAUCAACAAUGUUUAAUUAUAAUUUUACUUAUGAAACCGUACAAAUACAUAAAUCCUAAAUAA
Eurytemora carolleeae is the source of this 739-nucleotide long non-coding RNA. RefSeq lists it as uncharacterized. The record is from RefSeq and is a predicted model, not a curated record. Lineage: Eukaryota; Metazoa; Arthropoda; Copepoda; Calanoida; Temoridae. The transcript is spliced from 2 exons.